Molecule: ribosomal RNA, 486 nt
Filed under: uncultured bacterium
Lineage: Bacteria
Description: partial 16S ribosomal RNA
Rfam family: Bacterial small subunit ribosomal RNA
Source: RNAcentral
GAUGAACGCUGGCGGCGUGCCUAAUACAUGCAAGUCGAACGCUGGAAAUCUAGCUUGCUAGAUUGAAGGAGUGGCGAACGGGUGAGUAAUACAUAAGCAACCUACCCACGAAGACUGGGAUAAUCGCUGGAAACGGGGACUAAUACCGGAUAGGUAAUCGGAAGGCAUCUUCUGAUUAUUAAAGGUUAAAAACACUGGUGGAUGGGCUUAUGGCGCAUUAGUUAGUUGGUGAGGUAACGGCCCACCAAGACGAUGAUGCGUAGCCGGCCUGAGAGGGUGAACGGCCACAUUGGGACUGAGACACGGCCCAGACGCCUACGGGAGGCAGCAGUAGGGAAUUUUAGGCAAUGGGGGAAACCCUGACCGAGCAACGCCGCGUGAGUGAUGACGGCCUUCGGGUUGUAAAGCUCUGUUGUAAGGGAAGAACGGUAGAUAGAGAAUAUCUAAAUGAGGGUACCUUACCAGAAAGCCACGGCUAACUACGUG